Molecule: small RNA, 66 nt
Filed under: Lederbergia galactosidilytica
Lineage: Bacteria; Bacillati; Bacillota; Bacilli; Caryophanales; Bacillaceae
Description: Bacillus galactosidilyticus Bacillaceae-1 RNA
Rfam family: Bacillaceae-1 RNA
Source: Rfam by way of RNAcentral
AUCAAAAGAAGAACGGCUAAGGCGCGCCGUCCUGGCGCAACGCCGUUCUGACUCACAUCCUGUGAG